GGUUAAGUGACUAAGCGUACACGGUGGAUGCCUUGGCAGUUGGAGGCGAUGAAGGACGUACUAACUUGCGAUAAGCCUAGUCAAGCCAGUAAGAGGCGCUUGAGACUAGGAUUUCCGAAUGGGGGAACCCACCUGCUUGCAGGUAUCGUUAACUGAAUACAUAGGUUAACGAGGCGAACGCGGAGAACUGAAACAUCUAAGUACCCGUAGGAAAAGAAAUCAACCGAGAUUCCGAAAGUAGCGGCGAGCGAAAUCGGACCAGCCCUUAAGCUUUAGUGUGGUUAGUGGAACAUGCUGGAAAGCAUGACGAAACAGGGUGAUAGUCCCGUACACAAAAACUUAUCUAAAGUGAAAUCGAGUAGGUCGGAGCACGUGAAACUUUGACUGAAUAUGGGGGGACCAUCCUCCAAGGCUAAAUACUCCCAACUGACCGAUAGUGAACCAGUACCGUGAGGGAAAGGCGAAAAGAACCCCUGUGAGGGGAGUGAAAUAGAACCUGAAACCGUGUACGUACAAGCAGUAGGAGCCUACUUGUUGGGUGACUGCGUACCUUUUGUAUAAUGGGUCAGCGACUUAUAUUCUGUAGCGAGGUUAACCAUUUAGGGGAGCCGUAGCGAAAGCGAGUCUUAACUGGGCGCUUAAGUUGCAGGGUAUAGACCCGAAACCCGGUGAUCUAGCCAUGGGCAGGUUGAAGGUUGAGUAACAUCAACUGGAGGACCGAACCCACUAACGUUGAAAAGUUAGGGGAUGACCUGUGGCUAGGAGUGAAAGGCUAAUCAAACCGGGAGAUAGCUGGUUCUCCCCGAAAUCUAUUUAGGUAGAGCCUCGGACGAAUACUUACGGGGGUAGAGCACUGUUAAGGCUAGGGGGUCAUCCCGACUUACCAACCCUUUGCAAACUCCGAAUACCGUAAAGUAAUAUCCGGGAGACACACGGCGGGUGCUAACGUCCGUCGUGGAGAGGGAAACAACCCAGACCGUCAGCUAAGGUCCCAAAGUGUAUGUUAAGUGGGAAACGAUGUGGGAAGGCUAAAACAGCUAGGAGGUUGGCUUAGAAGCAGCCACCCUUUAAAGAAAGCGUAAUAGCUCACUAGUCGAGUCGGCCUGCGCGGAAGAUGUAACGGGGCUAAACAUACCACCGAAGCUACGGCUGCGAACUUAGUUCGCGGGGUAGGGGAGCGUUCUGUAAGUGGCUGAAGGUGUGCCGGGAGGCAUGCUGGACAUAUCAGAAGUGCGAAUGCUGACAUGAGUAACGACAAGAGGAGUGAAAAACUCCUCCGCCGGAAGACCAAGGGUUCCUAUCCCAUGUUAAUCAGGGUAGGGUGAGUCGACCCCUAAGGCGAGGCUGAAGAGCGUAGUCGAUGGGAAACGGGUUAAUAUUCCCGUACUCGGUAUGAAUGCGAUGGGGGGACGGAGCAGGCUAGGCAAGCAUGGCGUUGGUUGUCCAUGUGAAAGGCUGUAGGCUGGUGACUUAGGAAAAUCCGGGUUGCCAAGGCUGAGAGUCGAGACGAGCCACUAAGGUGGUGAAGUUGUUGAUGCCCUACUUCCAGGAAAAGCCUCUAAGCUUCAGUUCAUACUGAAUCGUACCCUAAACCGACACAGGUGGUCAGGUAGAGAAUACUAAGGCGCUUGAGAGAACUCGGGUGAAGGAACUAGGCAAAAUUGUACCGUAACUUCGGGAGAAGGUACGCUCUUGUUUGUGAAGGACUUGCUCUGUAAGCAAACGAGAGCCGCAGUGACCAGGUGGCUGGGACUGUUUAUUAAAAACACAGCACUGUGCAAAAUCGUAAGAUGACGUAUACGGUGUGACACCUGCCCGGUGCCGGAAGGUUAAUUGAUGGGGUUAGCUUAGGCGAAGCUCUUGAUCGAAGCCCCGGUAAACGGCGGCCGUAACUAUAACGGUCCUAAGGUAGCGAAAUUCCUUGUCGGGUAAGUUCCGACCUGCACGAAUGGUGUAACCAUGGCCACGCUGUCUCCACCCGAGACUCAGUGAAAUUGAAAUCGCAGUGAAGAUGCUGUGUACCCGCGGCUAGACGGAAAGACCCCGUGAACCUUUACUACAGCUUGGCACUGAACAUUGACCCUACAUGUGUAGGAUAGGUGGGAGGCUUUGAAGCAGAGACGCUAGUUUCUGUGGAGCCGACCUUGAAAUACCACCCUUGUAGUGUUGAUGUUCUAACUUAGGCCCCUGAAUCGGGGUUGAGGACAGUGCCUGGUGGGUAGUUUGACUGGGGCGGUCUCCUCCCAAAGAGUAACGGAGGAGCACGAAGGUUUGCUAAGUACGGUCGGACAUCGUACGGUUAGUGUAAUGGUAGAAGCAAGCUUAACUGCGAGACAGACACGUCGAGCAGGUACGAAAGUAGGUCAUAGUGAUCCGGUGGUUCUGAAUGGAAGGGCCAUCGCUCAACGGAUAAAAGGUACUCCGGGGAUAACAGGCUGAUACCGCCCAAGAGUUCAUAUCGACGGCGGUGUUUGGCACCUCGAUGUCGGCUCAUCACAUCCUGGGGCUGAAGUCGGUCCCAAGGGUAUGGCUGUUCGCCAUUUAAAGUGGUACGCGAGCUGGGUUUAGAACGUCGUGAGACAGUUCGGUCCCUAUCUGCCGUGGGCGUUUGAGAAUUGAGAGGGGCUGCUCCUAGUACGAGAGGACCGGAGUGGACGAACCGCUGGUGUUCGGGUUGUGAUGCCAAUUGCAUUGCCCGGUAGCUACGUUCGGAACUGAUAACCGCUGAAAGCAUCUAAGCGGGAAGCAGGCCUCGAGAUGAGUUCUCACUUUGACUUAGAGUCAACUGAAGGGCCGUUGAAGACUACAACGUUGAUAGGCGAGAUGUGGAAGUGCUGUGAGGCAUUAAGCUAACUCGUACUAAUUACCCGUGAGGCUUAACCAU
This 2884-nucleotide ribosomal RNA is filed under the name Pseudoalteromonas sp. GCY. RNAcentral describes it as "23S ribosomal RNA". It matches the Rfam family "Bacterial large subunit ribosomal RNA". Lineage: Bacteria; Pseudomonadati; Pseudomonadota; Gammaproteobacteria; Alteromonadales; Pseudoalteromonadaceae. The record is from RNAcentral.